GUCAUUGGUACUCAUAAAUAAACAGGGUGUCCGCUGAUAAGGUAUGGAAUAGAGGCACAAAGGGGUUUCUGAUGCCGACGAUUCGGAGCCAGGAGCAGUGACCAGGACAGGAGGACAUUGAAUGUCAUUACACCACGUACACCAUCGGGUCGAUGUCUAGACCAUGGCUCAAAUUCAGGCACGGCACGUUUAGACCUUAUUUCAUACCGUCCUCUUUGAUUUGCUGCCGCAUCUCUGGAGAAAAAGCCCCUACGUAUCCGUUUCCAAUUUAAACAAACAGUUCAAUUUCUCCUUGAUGAAAGUGGGAAACCCUAAAAGGCUUAUAUAUAAAAUUCAAUGAGCAAGAAGAUGGUUUUACAUUCCUCUAAGAAUCAGAUGAUUAACAGUGAUAUUUCAUCAUCUUUGAUCGUUGUAAUCAGUAACCCUGAUUUGUUAAGACAGGUUCUAUUGUGUGUACCUGUCGAGUCUCUACUUGUAUUCAAAUCUGUUUCGAAACAAUGGUACAGCCUCAUCUCUGAUUUUGAUUUUGUCAAGGAACAUUUGCUUCACAGUCGCCCUUCAGUUCCUGGAUUUUACCUGCAGCAAUUGUCUCCUUGGGAGGACCCAGAAUUUGAGUUCAUUUUCUUGGAAGGUAACAUCCCUAGUAGUAUCCCAUUACGAACACAAGCGGAUUUCUCAAAUGGAGGGCUCACAGUUACAGGGAUUGAACAAUCUUGUAAUGGUCUGCUCUUACUAUGUUGCUAAAGUUCCAUUGACGGUAAGUAUUAUAUCUGCAAUCCGUCUACAAAACGUUACUCAGUUAUUCCUAAAGAUAUAAAGAGUAGUUGGGAGGUGAGUAUUUGUAGCGUGAGUUUAGCUUUUGAUCCAUUGAAGUCACCUCAUUACAAAGUUGUUUGCAUUUGGAGAAACGAGAUAGAUAAUUUUGUGAUUGAAAUCUAUUGUUCGAGAAAGGCCAGUUGGAGGCUCUCUGGAAAUCCUGUUGCUGCUGCACCUUAUGAUGUGUUUUACAAGCCUGGUGUGUUUUGGAAUGGUUCAUUGCAUUGGAUGAGCACAAAUUGUGAUUCCAGUAACUUGAGUGAAUCUUCUGUUUAUUUCGACGUUGAUAGAGAACAACUAAGGAGAAUGCCAGUGCCACCUGCACCCGAAAAAUGGUAUAGAAGAGUGAUUGAAUAUUUUGGAGAAUGCAAGGGGAAAUUACAUGUUAUUCAAAAUUAUCUUCCAAGUACUACAACAAGUUUAGAUGUUUUGGAGAUGGAUAUUGAUUACAGAUGUUGGAUGCUAAAAUACCGUGUCACACUAGAUCAGUUGUCAAUAAUACAUCCACACGAUAUUGUAGAUGACCAGGGUUUGUUCAAAUUCUCUGUAUUGCUUAUCGAGGAAGAAAAAGAUUUGUCAAAGUUAGUGGUGCUAAUACAAGAAAGAGUUGUUGCAUUUGAUCUUAUGAAAUUUGAGUUCAAAAUAAUCCAUGGAACUAUUCAGCGGUAUCCAGGAUCCCCAUGGUUUAAAGCUCAUCAGUAUAUUGAAUCACUCGCUUUCGUUUGAUAAUUUUUGUCAGUUUGGUGACAGUACAAGUUUCUUCAGGUUGAAGUACUCUACACUGUCUGAUCUAAUGUCCCUCGUUUUACUUACAAAGCUGAUUGUCGAUGAUGUUGAUUAGAAGUUAUAAUGUGUGAUUAACUUAUGGGUUCCCAUCAACAACGGUUCUGGUAAUUAGAAAGGUGAUCAAAGCUUGCAGAUUUGAAUGAGGGACAGGGAGACAAAGAUAUGAAACAUCCUGCACAUAUAUGGGAAGUAUGUGGCUGGGAGAAAGAUAGAGAUGGAAGGAGGAGGCUAGAAGUUAUCGAAGUUGCAUAAAUUUGGAUUUGUGCAGUGUUUCUCAUGAGUGAGUGUGAAAGGCGCUACAGCUGAGCAACAGAAUUAAGGUUAGGGUUUCUGUAGCUAUACCUGGAGAGCAGCUUCGCGAAAAUGAAGGGAUCGGUUGUAUAUGGUAAACAGAACUAGGAAGAUUUGAGAGUUCUUGAUGCAGGGGAUGGUAUUGGGUGUAGAGGGUUGGUACACAACUUCGAAGCAGUUGGGUAAAUCUGAGUUCUUAUGCUGUCCUCUUUUUAUUGGCCAGAGCUGAGAGUUGAUUCUUGCAGUUAAUGCUGUUUGUCUUUUGAUUGUUCUGCCUCUGCAGAUGAUUGGUGGUUGUAUCCUAGUUAUGGAUCGCUGCCACCUAAUUGGUGGGUUUUCAUGCCAAUUUACUUAGUUCGUUCUUCUGUGAUUGUGCUGUUCCAGUUUGGAACUGGGACAUCUCUGUAUUUCUUUGGACUUUGGCUAUAAAUGGACUAUUUUUGU
Papaver somniferum (opium poppy) is the source of this 2337-nucleotide long non-coding RNA. RefSeq lists it as uncharacterized. The record is from RefSeq and is a predicted model, not a curated record. The transcript is spliced from 5 exons. NCBI's taxonomy places the organism in Eukaryota, Viridiplantae, Streptophyta, Magnoliopsida, Ranunculales, Papaveraceae.